GACGAACGCUGGCGACGUGCUUAACACAUGCAAGUCGAACGGAAAGGCGCUGCUUUUGUGGGGUGCUCGAUUGGCGAACGGGUGAGUAACACGUGAGUAACCUGCCCUUGACUUUGGGAUAACUUCAGGAAACUGGGGCUAAUACCGGAUAGGAGCUCCUGCUGCAUGGUGGGGGUUGGAAAAUUUCGGCGGUUGGGGAUGGACUCGCGGCUUAUCAGCUUGUUGGUGGGGUAGUGGCUUACCAAGGCUUUGACGGGUAGCCGGCCUGAGAGGGUGACCGGCCACAUGGGGACUGAGGUACGGAGCAGUAUGCAACGGUACGCAACGGUCGGGAAUCUUACGGAAUAGCGGCACGCCUGUUAUGACAACUCCGCGAGCGUGAUGCCCUCCUUUGAGUUAUGAACCACUUUCGCCUGUAAUGAAGCGUGAGUGACGGUAAUGGGUCAGGAAGCAACGGCUAACUACGUG
This 468-nucleotide ribosomal RNA is filed under the name uncultured bacterium. RNAcentral describes it as "partial 16S ribosomal RNA". It matches the Rfam family "Bacterial small subunit ribosomal RNA", at positions 28 to 507 of the family's 1533-position model. The record is from RNAcentral.